ACUGCGGCUUCAGAUGGAGAAGGAGGGGCGUCUUCAGUUUUCUUAUACGCUGGUAUCAUGCCCUUGGCUUGCUCAAAGUAACUCUUCUUCUCUGGUUCCAGGGGUGUCUCUGUGGGAUGAACUGCGGCUUCAGAUGGAGAAGGAGGUCCGUCUUCAGUUUUCUUAUACGCUGGUAUCAUGCCCUUGGCUUGCUCAAAGUAACUCUUCUUCUCUGGUUCAGGGGGUGUCUCCGUGGGAUGAACUGCGGUUUCAGAUGGAGAAGUAGGGGCGUCUUCAGUUUUCUUAUACGCUGGUAUCAUGCCCUUGGCUUGCUCAAAGUAACUCUUCUUCUCUGGUUCAAGGGGCGUCUCUGUUGGAUGAACUGCGGCUUCAGCUGGAGAAGGAGGUCCGUCUUCAGUUUUUUUAUACGCUGGUAUCAUGUCCUUGGCUUGCUCAAAGUAACUCUUCUUCUUCUCUGGUUCAAGGGGUGUCUCUGUGUUAGAAGGAACAGUGGUAUGCUCAUGUUUCUUCUCCCCGUCACCAGGCUGCAAUAUAUUUCAACAAGAGAAAAGAACUGUCAGUUUCAAGAAAAACUCAACAACAGAGAAAAUAACUAAAGUAAACAGUGAGAUUAAUAUAUAUCAAUCGGGUUAAUCAGAG
Molecule: long non-coding RNA, 639 nt
Filed under: Populus tremula
Lineage: Eukaryota; Viridiplantae; Streptophyta; Magnoliopsida; Malpighiales; Salicaceae
Description: long non-coding RNA (PTRE_LNC001880)
Source: RNAcentral